Perca flavescens (yellow perch) is the source of this 314-nucleotide long non-coding RNA. RefSeq lists it as uncharacterized. The record is from RefSeq and is a predicted model, not a curated record. NCBI's taxonomy places the organism in Eukaryota, Metazoa, Chordata, Actinopteri, Perciformes, Percidae. The transcript is spliced from 3 exons.
UAAAUCGCUUAAUUUUUCUGCCUCACGUUUACAAGCUGCCGCCUACUUUCCUCCGUGGUUUUCGAGAGGUAAAAGAAAGGGCGUCAGUGCAGCCAGGGACGACUCUCUUUUCUUACCUUUAGCUGCCUAGCAGGGAGCUCUCUGCGGUGCAGGUGAAGAAAGACUUUAGCACCUCGAGGAGCAGUCUGAAGUCUCUGACGCCUCUAAGGUGGUAGAGACUGGCUUUCUUCACCAAGGUGCUGACAUGAGAGGACCAUGAAAAGCCCUCUGUGAUGCAGCUAUCUGAAGCUGUCCACCCUCUCCACCCAAGGGGG